Chlorocebus sabaeus (green monkey) is the source of this 99-nucleotide microRNA precursor. The record is from Ensembl. Lineage: Eukaryota; Metazoa; Chordata; Mammalia; Primates; Cercopithecidae.
CCUAUGUGUAUCCUCAGCUUUGAGAACUGAAUUCCAUGGGUUGUGUCAGUGUCAGACCUGUGAAAUUCAGUUCUUCAGCUGGGAUAUCUCUGUCGUCGU